RNAcentral lists this ribosomal RNA (649 nucleotides) under uncultured bacterium. RNAcentral's name for it is "bacterial SSU rRNA". It matches the Rfam family "Bacterial small subunit ribosomal RNA", at positions 28 to 768 of the family's 1533-position model. The record is from RNAcentral.
GACGCACGCUGGCGGCGCGCCUAACACAUGCAAGUCGAACGGAGUGGCGGACGGGUGAGUAACACGUGAGCAACCUGCCUUUCAGAGGGGGACAACAGUUGGAAACGACUGCUAAUACCGCAUACUGAAAGAUGGGCUCGCGUCUGAUUAGAUAGUUGGUGAGGUAACGGCCCACCAAGUCGACGAUCAGUAGCCGGACUGAGAGGUUGAUCGGCCACAUUGGGACUGAGACACGGCCCAGACUCCUACGGGAGGCAGCAGUGGGGAAUAUUGGACAAUGGGGGAAACCCUUGUCCAGCGACGCCGCGUGAGGGAAGAAGGUUUUCGGAUUGUAAACCUCUGUCAGUGGGGACGCGGUACCCACGGAGGAAGCCACGGCUAACUACGUGCCAGCAGCCGCGGUAAUACGUAGGUGGCAAGCGUUGUCCGGAAUUACUGGGUGUAAAGGGAGCGUAGGCGGGGUAUCAAGUCAGAAGUGAAAAUUAUGGGCUCAACUCAAACCUGCUUUUGAAACUGAUAUUCUUGAGUGAAGUAGAGGCAAGCGGAAUUCCUGGUGUAGCGGUGAAAUGCUUAGAUAUUAGGAGGAACACCAGUGGCGAAGGCGGCUUGCUGGGCUUUUACUGAUGCUGAGGCUCGAAAGCGUGGGGAG